Molecule: long non-coding RNA, 715 nt
Organism: Bos indicus x Bos taurus (hybrid cattle)
Lineage: Eukaryota; Metazoa; Chordata; Mammalia; Artiodactyla; Bovidae
Source: Ensembl
CUGAGACUCAGGAUGAAAUGAUUGAACUGCUGGCUGUGGUAUGUGCAGGUAACAUUUACGCUCCCAUCUGCAAGCUGUCGUGCAGACUUGGAGGGGAAGCCACCCAAGGCACAGAGCAGGGCAUCUGUAUUCUUCAUCCAUAUGAAGAAGCGAGGAAGUGUGAAGGUUAAUUUUCUUGAGCAGCCAUGCCAACGUUGUGCAGGCAUCACAGAGGGUUUGAGGAUUUAGAAAUCGUUAAUGAAUAAUCACUUUAAAAACCAUUUUCUACUGAAAAGAGGCACUGCAUGGCCCCUCUCCUCAGCUCUGCCUGGCUCCAUCAUUCCAGUUAUCUUUAAUUGUACCUUGCUCUCUGAUGUCUACUUGCAGUCUUAGGCCAGCUGACAAAUGUCACUGCUCUGGGCCAUUGAUCGAGAUUUAGGGGAAAAAUUAAAGGACAUGUGAAGAAAGAACCAGAUACAAGGAAGCAGGAAGUGCUCUCAACGCUGCAAGGUCACCGAUUCAGAAAGCAGAGGAUAGAAGUGGGGAAUGAAAAAAAGAAUGGCAUCCAGGAAAGAGAUUUUGGUGCCAACCACUGGACAUCUGUGUGUUCUUUGCUCUUUGUCUCUUUGGGGCAGUUGCUGCGGGUGGGUACAAGGUGUGCAGGGGCUUUGGGCUGUGUGCACAGACAUUUGUUGACAAUAGACCAGUUUCAGUUUGGUUUGAAACUAUUAAAAUU